CCAAUAGCGUAUAUUAGUGUUGUUGCGGUUAAAAAGCUCGUAGUUGAAUUUCGGGAUUGGGAUAUAUCGGUCGUGCCUUUAGGGGCAUGAAUCGGUGUGUGGCCAAUUCUCACCUUCUGGUGAAUUGGGAUGCUCUCGGGUGUUUCAAUGAACUAGGACUUUUACUUUGAAAAAAUUAGAGUGUUUAAAGCGGGCAUUUUUGCUUGAAUACGUUAGCAUGGAAUAAUAAAAUAGGACGAUGGUUCUAUUUUGUUGGUUUUAGGACCACGUAAUGAUUAAUAGGGAUAGUUGGGGGCAUUAGUAUUCAAUUGUCAGAGGUGAAAUUCUUGGAUUUAUUGAGGACUAACUACUGCGAAAGCAUUUGCCAAGGAUGUUUUCAUUAAUCAAGAACGAAAGUUAGGGGAUCAAAGACGAUUUAUGUACGUCGUAGUCUUAACCAUAAACUAUGCCGACUAGGAAUCAGACAAAGUUAAUUUUUUAACGACUUGUUUGGUACCUUACGGGAAACUAAAAGUGUUUGGGUUC
This 525-nucleotide unclassified non-coding RNA is filed under the name uncultured Glomeromycotina. RNAcentral describes it as "SSU rRNA". It matches the Rfam family "Eukaryotic small subunit ribosomal RNA", at positions 591 to 1114 of the family's 1831-position model. Lineage: Eukaryota; Fungi; Glomeromycota. The record is from RNAcentral.